GUUCGAUCCUGGCUCAGAUUGAACGCUGGCGGCAUGCCUUACACAUGCAAGUCGAACGGCAGCACGGGAGCAAUCCUGGUGGCGAGUGGCGAACGGGCGAGUAAUGUAUCGGAACGUACCUUUCAGUGGGGGAUAACGUAGCGAAAGUUACGCUAAUACCGCAUAUUCUGUGAGCAGGAAAGCAGGGGAUUGUAAGACCUUGCGCUGAUUGAGCGGCCGAUAUCAGAUUAGCUAGUUGGUGAGGUAAAGGCUCACCAAGGCGACGAUCUGUAGCGGGUCUGAGAGGAUGAUCCGCCACACUGGAACUGAGACACGGUCCAGACUCCUACGGGAGGCAGCAGUGGGGAAUUUUGGACAAUGGGCGCAAGCCUGAUCCAGCCAUGCCGCGUGAGUGAAGAAGGCCUUCGGGUUGUAAAGCUCUUUCAGCCGGGAAGAAAACGCAUGGGUUAAUACCCUGUGUGGAUGACGGUACCGGAAUAAGAAGCACCGGUUAACUACGUGUCAGCAGUCGCGGUAAUACGUAGGGUGCGAGCGUUAAUCGGAAUUACUGGGCGUAAAGCGUGCGCAGGCGGUUUGUUAAGAUAGGCGUGAAAUUCCCGGGCUCAACCUGGGAACUGCGUUUAUGACUGGCAAGCUAGAGUAUGGCAGAGGGGGGUGGAAUUCCACGUGUAGCAGUGAAAUGCGUAGAGAUGUGGAGGAACACUGAUGGCGAAGGCAGCCCCCUGGGCCAAUACUGACGCUCAUGCACGAAAGCGUGGGUAGCAAACAGGAUUAGAUACCCUGGUAGUCCACGCCCUAAACGAUGUCAACUAGGUGUUGGGAGGGUAAAACCUUUUAGUACCGGAGCUAACGCGUGAAGUUGACCGCCUGGGGAGUACGGCCGCAAGGUUAAAACUCAAAGGAAUUGACGGGGACCCGCACAAGCGGUGGAUGAUGUGGAUUAAUUCGAUGCAACGCGAAAAACCUUACCUACCCUUGACAUGCCCGGAAGCCCUUAGAGAUUUGGGUGUGCUCGAAAGAGAGCCGGAACACAGGUGCUGCAUGGCUGUCGUCAGCUCGUGUCGUGAGAUGUUGGGUUAAGUCCCGCAACGAGCGCAACCCUUGUCGUUAAUUGCCAUCAUUUAGUUGGGCACUUUAACGAGACUGCCGGUGACAAACCGGAGGAAGGUGGGGAUGACGUCAAGUCCUCAUGGCCCUUAUGGGUAGGGCUUCACACGUCAUACAAUGGUCGGUACAAAGGGUCGCCAACCCGCGAGGGGGAGCCAAUCCCAGAAAGCCGAUCGUAGUCCGGAUCGUAGGCUGCAACUCGCCUGCGUGAAGUCGGAAUCGCUAGUAAUCGUGGAUCAGCAUGUCACGGUGAAUACGUUCCCGGGUCUUGUACACACCGCCCGUCACACCAUGGGAGCGGGUUCCGCCAGAAGUAGGUAGCCUAACCGCAAGGAGGGCGCUUACCACGGCGGGGUUCGUGACUGGGGUGAAGUCGGAACAAGGUA
RNAcentral lists this ribosomal RNA (1493 nucleotides) under metagenome. RNAcentral describes it as "bacterial SSU rRNA". It matches the Rfam family "Bacterial small subunit ribosomal RNA". The record is from RNAcentral.